UACGAAGGGGGCUAGCGUUGUUCGGAAUUACUGGGCGUAAAGCGCACGUAGGCGGAUAUUUAAGUCAGGGGUGAAAUCCCAGAGCUCAACUCUGGAACAGCCUUUGAUACUGGGUAUCUUGAGUAUGGAAGAGGUGAGUGGAAUUCCGAGUGUAGAGGUGAAAUUCGUAGAUAUUCGGAGGAACACCAGUGGCGAAGGCGGCUCACUGGUCCAUUACUGACGCUGAGGUGCGAAAGCGUGGGGAGCAAACAGG
Molecule: ribosomal RNA, 253 nt
Filed under: uncultured bacterium
Lineage: Bacteria
Description: partial 16S ribosomal RNA
Rfam family: Bacterial small subunit ribosomal RNA
Source: RNAcentral